CUAUGUGAAAUGCCCAUUGGAGUAGAUAUCAUUGAUCCCGAAAGCUAUAGGCUUGAAUCAGACCUACUCGUGAACCCUAGCAUAGUUGCAGAUGAGUGAUAAUUGUGGAUGAGUUACAAGUACAUGGAUGGGUGAUGCUAUUCAGAUAAAACAUUAUGAGAAUGAAUACCGAAUGGUGGUGGCUACUGGUUUAAAUUUCAAGAAUCAAGACUUUUUUCCUUUCUUGAUGUUCAAGAAUCAAGACUUUGUUAUUAUUUAAUUACUAAUUUACUA
Carya illinoinensis is the source of this 273-nucleotide long non-coding RNA. RefSeq lists it as uncharacterized. Lineage: Eukaryota; Viridiplantae; Streptophyta; Magnoliopsida; Fagales; Juglandaceae. The transcript has 3 exons. The record is from RefSeq and is a predicted model, not a curated record.